RNAcentral lists this unclassified non-coding RNA (638 nucleotides) under Hevea brasiliensis (rubber tree). Lineage: Eukaryota; Viridiplantae; Streptophyta; Magnoliopsida; Malpighiales; Euphorbiaceae. The record is from RNAcentral.
GGAAGUUCUACUGUCGAUGCGGCGAAGAAACCUAUCGACCGGAGAAUCCCGCCGGUGAAUAGAACUCCUGCCGAUAAUGUUGGUCCAGUUGCCGAGAGCAGCCCAAAGGUUUCUAUUAAAAACACUGUGGAAGAGAAAGAUCCCAAGUUCGAUGCAAUGCUUAGUCAAAUGGUCGGUAGAAUUCAAGCCAAGCCUGGUGGAAAGCUAGAGAUGGGUGAGGCAACAGUGGUGGAGAGGUAUGAUAGACCCUUGCCUAAGCUAAGGAAUACAACUUCAGAGUCUAGCAGAUAUGAGGAAAGGCCUGCUCCUACAGGUACGCUGAAUGUGGCACAGAUAAAAGAAAUUCUUCUCCUGCAUCAAGGCAGAUCCGAUGAUCAUCAAGGGCCUAUGGACAUCAAUGGAAUUUGUGAGCGGUUUAGAAUUGAUGCUGCCCAGGUUCAGAGGAUUCUGCAGUUUGUAUCUUUGCCUCCGGAAGACACUAGUAAAAAGAGGAACACAUAAGUGUAUCAUAUUUUAUAGUCAUUGAUAUCUCAAAGAAAUGAGUGAGUUCACACUUCCCCUGAGGUGGUUCCCUUUAUGCAUCAAUUUUGCAGCUGUAAGUGGUCUGUUGUAAUAAUGACCUAUAAUCAUGGUCCUGG